RNAcentral lists this ribosomal RNA (253 nucleotides) under uncultured bacterium. RNAcentral describes it as "partial 16S ribosomal RNA". It matches the Rfam family "Bacterial small subunit ribosomal RNA", at positions 524 to 776 of the family's 1533-position model. The record is from RNAcentral.
UACAGAGGGUGCGAGCGUUGUCCGGAAUCACUGGGCGUAAAGGGCGCGUAGGCGGGCUAGCAAGUCUGGGGUGAAAUCCUCCGGCUCAACCGGGGGACGGCCUGAGAUACUGCUGGCCUCGAGGCGGGUAGGGGCGUGCGGAACUAUGGGUGGAGCGGUGAAAUGCGUUGAUAUCCAUAGGAACUCCGGUGGCGAAGGCGGCACGCUGGACCCGAUCUGACGCUGAGGCGCGAAAGCCAGGGGAGCGAACGGG